This 1528-nucleotide ribosomal RNA is filed under the name Klebsiella pneumoniae. RNAcentral's name for it is "bacterial SSU rRNA". It matches the Rfam family "Bacterial small subunit ribosomal RNA". The record is from RNAcentral. Lineage: Bacteria; Pseudomonadati; Pseudomonadota; Gammaproteobacteria; Enterobacterales; Enterobacteriaceae.
AGAGUUUGAUCAUGGCUCAGAUUGAACGCUGGCGGCAGGCCUAACACAUGCAAGUCGAGCGGUAGCACAGAGAGCUUGCUCUCGGGUGACGAGCGGCGGACGGGUGAGUAAUGUCUGGGAAACUGCCUGAUGGAGGGGGAUAACUACUGGAAACGGUAGCUAAUACCGCAUAACGUCGCAAGACCAAAGUGGGGGACCUUCGGGCCUCAUGCCAUCAGAUGUGCCCAGAUGGGAUUAGCUAGUAGGUGGGGUAACGGCUCACCUAGGCGACGAUCCCUAGCUGGUCUGAGAGGAUGACCAGCCACACUGGAACUGAGACACGGUCCAGACUCCUACGGGAGGCAGCAGUGGGGAAUAUUGCACAAUGGGCGCAAGCCUGAUGCAGCCAUGCCGCGUGUGUGAAGAAGGCCUUCGGGUUGUAAAGCACUUUCAGCGGGGAGGAAGGCGGUGAGGUUAAUAACCUCAUCGAUUGACGUUACCCGCAGAAGAAGCACCGGCUAACUCCGUGCCAGCAGCCGCGGUAAUACGGAGGGUGCAAGCGUUAAUCGGAAUUACUGGGCGUAAAGCGCACGCAGGCGGUCUGUCAAGUCGGAUGUGAAAUCCCCGGGCUCAACCUGGGAACUGCAUUCGAAACUGGCAGGCUAGAGUCUUGUAGAGGGGGGGAGAAUUCCAGGUGUAGCGGUGAAAUGCGUAGAGAUCUGGAGGAAUACCGGUGGCGAAGGCGGCCCCCUGGACAAAGACUGACGCUCAGGUGCGAAAGCGUGGGGAGCAAACAGGAUUAGAUACCCUGGUAGUCCACGCCGUAAACGAUGUCGAUUUGGAGGUUGUGCCCUUGAGGCGUGGCUUCCGGAGCUAACGCGUUAAAUCGACCGCCUGGGGAGUACGGCCGCAAGGUUAAAACUCAAAUGAAUUGACGGGGGCCCGCACAAGCGGUGGAGCAUGUGGUUUAAUUCGAUGCAACGCGAAGAACCUUACCUGGUCUUGACAUCCACAGAACUUUCCAGAGAUGGAUUGGUGCCUUCGGGAACUGUGAGACAGGUGCUGCAUGGCUGUCGUCAGCUCGUGUUGUGAAAUGUUGGGUUAAGUCCCGCAACGAGCGCAACCCUUAUCCUUUGUUGCCAGCGGUUAGGCCGGGAACUCAAAGGAGACUGCCAGUGAUAAACUGGAGGAAGGUGGGGAUGACGUCAAGUCAUCAUGGCCCUUACGACCAGGGCUACACACGUGCUACAAUGGCAUAUACAAAGAGAAGCGACCUCGCGAGAGCAAGCGGACCUCAUAAAGUAUGUCGUAGUCCGGAUUGGAGUCUGCAACUCGACUCCAUGAAGUCGGAAUCGCUAGUAAUCGUAGAUCAGAAUGCUACGGUGAAUACGUUCCCGGGCCUUGUACACACCGCCCGUCACACCAUGGGAGUGGGUUGCAAAAGAAGUAGGUAGCUUAACCUUCGGGAGGGCGCUUACCACUUUGUGAUUCAUGACUGGGGUGAAGUCGUAACAAGGUAACCGUAGGGGAACCUGCGGUUGGAUCACCU